AUGGAGGAGAGGGCGAGGCAGCUGCUCCUCCUCGCCGCCGUCGCGGGCGUCGGCGCCGCAUUCGGCGCGCUCUCCACCGCGGCCGUCUUCAGCUUCCUCUCCAGGGCGAAGCGGAGAGAGGGAUACGUGCGCAAGCUGCUGGAAUCCAAUGGCGGUGCUGGUGGUCCGCACGCUGGCAAAACUGCACCGGGAGCACGUCUGCAUGAUAGCUCGGAUCUUCUCUCUGAUGAAGUUGUCGCUGAGCAGCUUACAAGGAAUAUACAAUUUUUUGGAGUCGAAUCUCAGAAGAAAGUUACUGAAUCUUUUGUUGUAGUCAUUGGUCUUGGAGGAGUUGGCAGUCAUGCUGCUUCCAUGCUCCUCAGAUCUGGGGUUGGCAGGUUGCUCCUAGUAGAUUUUGAUCAGGUCUCACUGUCAUCACUAAAUCGGCAUGCUGUGGCAACCAGAGAGGACGUUGGGACCCCAAAAGCAUAUUGCCUCAAGAAGCAUUUCUCAUUGAUAUAUCCAGAGUGCCAAAUAGAAGCAAGAGUGCAGUUGUAUGAUUCAUCAGCUGAGGACGAAAUUCUUUCUGGACAGCCAGAUUUUGUUCUUGAUUGCAUAGAUAACAUUGAUACUAAGGUGUCUCUUCUUGCGGCUUGCGUACGCAGAGGGUUAAGGGUACUGUCUGCAAUGGGGGCUGGAGCUCGAGCAGACCCGACCCGAAUCCGUGUUGCGGAUUUGAGAGAAUCAAGCAAUGAUCCCCUUUCUCGGGCGGUACGGUAUCGGCUGAAGAAGGAUCAUGGAAUUGAAGGUGGAAUACCAGUAGUUUUUUCAAUGGAGAAGCCCAAGGCAAAGCUACUUCCCUUUCAAGGUUCGAAAGAAGAGGAAACUCCAUCAGAUUACCAGAUUGUGCCAGGAUUCAGGGUUCGCAUUAUCCCAGUACUGGGAACUAUCCCUGCAAUAUUUGGUCAAGUUAUGGCCUCUUAUGUGGUUACUCAGCUUGCCCAGUUAGAUUUUCAAACUGAACCAAUUGUUAACCUGGAUUUGGAUCAUUACCGCAUUCUUCACCAUCGUCUUCUUGAGCACGAGGAGCUGAUAUAUGGGUCAGCUGAGCAAGUUUUGGUUGAUGCUGAAGAGGUGAUGUACAUUGUGAAAGAAUUGUGGCGUGGCCGAAGUGCUAGAGACCAAAACAUGAAGGACACUGGCUGGAAAAUGUGGAGAUCUGUCAACGAACUGAUGCUUGUUCGGUGGGACAAAUCAAAGCCUGCUGGUGUGUCAAACUUAAUACUUCUCAAGUUCAGCGAGGCGGAUGCACAUGAAUCCACAACGCUUGAUCAGAUAAAAGAUGAGGAACCUGAAUUCUACGCCAUGGUUUCACGUGUCCUGAAACGAGCCGAAACGGAGUUUGCUUUAUGA
Molecule: ribosomal RNA, 1392 nt
Filed under: Triticum aestivum (bread wheat)
Lineage: Eukaryota; Viridiplantae; Streptophyta; Magnoliopsida; Poales; Poaceae
Description: partial small subunit ribosomal RNA
Source: RNAcentral